Bombus pascuorum is the source of this 2999-nucleotide long non-coding RNA. RefSeq lists it as uncharacterized. The transcript is spliced from 3 exons. The record is from RefSeq and is a predicted model, not a curated record. Lineage: Eukaryota; Metazoa; Arthropoda; Insecta; Hymenoptera; Apidae.
AUGCGCUGGAGAAUACGAACGAAGAAUAUGCGCGUAGCAUAGUUCGACCAUACCAGAGACGAAAUAACGUCGAUACACCUUUCAUCGCUAACAAAAGGAAACGAAACGAAAAAGAAGGAAGAUAGCGCGAGGAAAAACGUGCCUCGUUCGUACGUUUCGCCGUGGUUAUGACUACGCGAGAUAAUACGUGCUCUUUUCUCCCGAUGAUCGGUAACUCGCGCGUUUCAUAAUUCUCCUGGAAAGAGAUACAUACUUUGCGAAACGUCGACUAUCAACACUUUACCGAGUCUUUACAUUCCUGACGUUUGCUUUGCUUCUACGCGAUGUAACUUUGACCGUUAUGCAAACAUUAUAUCCUCGUUUAUCGGAUAUUCGUUUGGCGAUGUAGUCCUGGUGUCAACGACCUUGUAUGUACAAUCACUACCAACGUACUCUCGACUCUCGAUGUCUUGUCCACGAUGGAAACGAACGAAUUGACUUAUUUUACCAAGCUUUACCGGGACAGCCUGGUUUCUGCUAUACCUAACGUUAACUCCUCCCCCCCCUCCCUUCGCUCUUUCCCUCCUUCUCUCUUUCUCCGGCGCUCGCUCUUUUUUUUUUUUUUUUCUCUCUUCCAUUCCCGUUCCCAUUCUUGUUCCUAUUCCCCAUUCCUAUUUCCGUUCUCUUCCCUUCCUUUCCCAGCAUUUCGUCUUCCAGGCAACCCCUUCCCCCGCUUUGAUUUACGACCAUAAGUUGUAAUAUUUGCGCCACUAUUGUAUGGUAAUACGCACAGCAAAAAAUAUGUUAAUGGUUGCCAUAAAGAAGAUAUACAGCACGUACAUAUACAUAUGUAUCCCAUUUCGCGGCAUAUACUUGCUGUACAUAUAGAAACUCCACUCUCGACAUCCCAUCUCUUUCAUUUUCCUCCAAAUGGUAUCCUCCGCUUUCUUCUCUUUCUCUUAUUGUAUUUUUCUCUCCUUGUUUAACCUGCUCCCCUCCGUUUCUAUACUUUCUUUACUUUUCCCUUUCUUACCUUUCCUGUUUUCAAACGGUAUUUCGAACGGUAUCGCUUUCGUCGAUUUAACUAACGAAAGUACGAGCGUACGAAGAUCGCUAAAAUAUAGUACUAUAUUUCUUCUUGCUUUUAAAUCGUUCGUUGGUCGAUGCGUAGUUACGACCGGUGAUAUACCCCAACGGUAACGAUAAAACGAUGUCGAUAUCGAACUAAAAUAAUCGACGGCGUUUAUUUUUCGAACAUCGGAUGAAACUUUCUCGAAUAUCGUACUACGUAAAAUAUAUGUGGAUAUAUCGUACGUAGAUCGUGUUUCUCCGCUACGUAGACGUAAACUAGCACUGCUUUGUUCUUGCAUCAUCGAUCGAGCAAUAUCGAACGAUCGAUUGAAAUUUAUCGAUCGGUAUUGGGACGCUGAGAUCGUGUCGUUUCGCCUUCGUAAUCCCUUUUUCGCUACCACGGCUGCUGUUGCUGCUGCCUCUACCGCUGCUGCCGCUGCUGCCACUGCUGCUGCGCUUCUCUCUUCCAUAACUCGAACAAUUCCAAUAGUCGUUAAUCUGUCGGAAACUUUCGGAAAACUUGCCGUUAUUGCAGGUACAGAGGAGAGCAGUCCAUGCAAGUAGGAUAAGCGGAGAAGCGCAAGGAGAAGGAGAAUGGUAGAGAGGAAUUGGGGUAAGAUGAGAUGAGAUGAGAUGAGAUGAGAUGAGACGAGAUGGGAUGAGAUGAGACGAGAUAAGAUAAAACGAGAUGAGAGGAGACGAGAUGGGACGAGACGAGACGAGACGAGACAAAAUGAGAUGAGAUGAGAUGAGAUGAGAUGAGAUGAGAUGGGAAGAGAGAGAAGAUAAAAGAGAGUAGAGAAGAGGAGAAAGAUGGUCGAGUAGGCGAAGAAGAAGCCUAUUUGAUGGGAGGUGGAAGGGUUCGGAGAAAGGAGUUCGCAGGGCAGAUUCCACGCAGAGAUGCGACUCUAGAAGAGUCGAGGGAGAAUGGGGAUGGGAACCGGUGUGCCGAGGAUCGAGGACCGGUUGAAAAGCGAACGAACGAAUAAAGGAGCGAGGAGGAGAGGAGAGGAGAGGAGAGGAGAAGAGAGGGCACGUAAAAAAGGAUGUUGAAAGGAGGAGAAGAGAGGUGCCGCGUGAACGAGAAAAGAAAAAAAAAAGAAAAGGACGAACCGGCUCUGCUCGCCAGCUGACGGUCUCGUGCCGCAACCCAAAACUCUUUUCGAAGAUUCGGUUGCCGGUAUUUGUAUAUCACGUAUGGUACCCGCGCAACUUGGCUGUUUUUGCGCUACCUGCCGUUGCUGACCCUCGCGACUCUGGCUACUCGAUCUUUAUCGAUUCCACUCGAUCGAUUUCGCAACGUAACCUUUCGACCGUACACGCUUCCACGCGAAAUAAUCAGUCGAUCGAUCUUUGACCGUACCUAAAAGCCACAGAGACAAUAGUAUUGUUCGUAUCAUAGAAGAAAUUGCCGCGGACGAGAACGAUGUCGUUCGCAUUCGUUGUUCCUCCUCUUGCGCAAUUCUCUUCGUCCGCUCGCUCGUCUUCGUCGCAUUCCCGUUGGUAUUGAUCCGUUGAGUUUUCGAAAGUAAAAUAGGUUAUGCCGUGAAUCGCACGGAACUACAACUCCGGACAGCAACGAACGAGACGAAGCGGUGGUAUGGAACAGAAACGAUGAGAACAGGAACGAUGAGAAACGGAACGAAAAGAGCGACGAACGAGCUGGAUCCACGGAUGAAUACGAAUACGUCGCUUAAACUGUGUGGAUACCGCCUAUACCAAUGUGCAAGUUUACACGAAGAAGAAACCGUGGUUACACUAAGGGGGCCGAGGAGAACGGGUGGGGACCAACUGGCGAAGCCAAAGGAAGAGACGGGGAGUUUGCAAAGUUUCGAGAUUCAAGAGCGCUGCUCUCAAUACGACAAGUUUGUGCAAACAAGAACUUACUUCGAAGGAUGGAUAAUGUCGCAGAUAAAUCAACGAAAUUUAAUAAAUCGACGUCUCUAAGA